GAUGAACGCUGGCGGCGUGCCUAAUACAUGCAAGUCGAGCGAACGGACGAGAAGCUUGCUUCUCUGAUGUUAGCGGCGGACGGGUGAGUAACACGUGGAUAACCUACCUAUAAGACUGGGAUAACUUCGGGAAACCGGAGCUAAUACCGGAUAAUAUUUUGAACCGCAUGGUUCAAAAGUGAAAGACGGUCUUGCUGUCACUUAUAGAUGGAUCCGCGCUGCAUUAGCUAGUUGGUAAGGUAACGGCUUACCAAGGCAACGAUGCAUGGCCGACCUGAGAGGGUGAUCGGCCACACGGGAACUGAGACACGGUACAGACGCCUACGGGAGGCAGCAGUAGGGAAUGUUCCGCAAUGGGCGAAAGACUGAAGGAGCAACGCCGCGUGAGUGAUGAAGGUCUUCGGAUCGUAAAACUCUGUUAUUAGGGAAGAACAUAUGUGUAAGUAACUGUGCACAUCUUGACGGUACCUAAUCAGAAAGCCACGGCUAACUACGUG
Molecule: ribosomal RNA, 497 nt
Filed under: uncultured bacterium
Lineage: Bacteria
Description: partial 16S ribosomal RNA
Rfam family: Bacterial small subunit ribosomal RNA
Source: RNAcentral